UUGCUGAAUGAUGUCAAAUACAGAGUAAAGAUGUCAAUAAAGAGAAAAGAUUUAGACACAAACCACUUUUCAUCUUUUUUUUUUUGUAUUUACAAGUGGAAAAGAAUAUAACCAAAUGGGUAUUAGUAUUUUUCUUUCUAUACAAAGCAUAUAAAUAUUAAGAAUUGAUAAUGAAAAAAAUGUUGUUAUAACAAAAAUAAUUAUUUACACAGAUGACAAGCCCAGUUACUAUGUUUUACAUUCUCAAAGACAGCAGGACUCAUGUUAAGGCAAACCACAUGUAACCAGCGUUUGCAUACGUGACAUUCAAUCUAAAAAAAAAAAUCACACACACAUACAUAAGAUAUAUAUAUAUAUAUAUAUAUAUAUAUAUAUAUAUAUCAAUAUAGUAACACAGUUACAGAAGACAAUAAGACUGUGAUGAUGUCAUAUUGUUCCUCUUCAUUUCAGGCACCUGAGGCUGUCAGGAUUUCCUCAGCCAUCUUCCUACGUAGUCCCUCCAUAUUGGUGACAGAAGUAUUGAUGUCCAAGUGGGAGGGCACUUCUGGGAAACUAGAGACAACCUCCUUUGCCAUCUUUGAACAAUAGUUGUAGUGAAAUGAAGGAAUUAAUUCUAUUUAGUGUCUCAAAUUUAAUGCUUACCAUUUGAGCAGAAAAUACCUGCAUGACAAUGUAUAACAAUACAAAUACCUUUCGAAGACUCUGCCGACACACAUCAUCUCGGUUUCCAGACAGAAUCACACCAGCAGAAAAAUGAUUCAUGAGGUCCAUUGCUGUGUCUGGAAUCGUCUGGCUGGUAUUGGUGCUGAUCUGUGUAACUUCUGGAUUUGGUGAUGGCUGUGGCAGUACUUCAGGUGGGUCAAAGUAUUUUGUUUUAUGUCUGUUCUUGUCCUUUCUCGAUGUUUUCUGUGCCCAUUCUUCUUUCUGGCUGAAGAACUUUUCUUUAGGUUCUGGAUCACGGUAAGGCAGUAAAAGAUUGUUGUUAAUUAUGUGUUCUUUGUAUCUGCCUUGGAGAGAUCCAUACAUGUUCUGAAUGAAGUCAGCAGGACGCAGGUACUUCUUCUUUUUAAGGAUGCUCUGUUUAACAAUCCAAAACCACUGUUCCACAUGACAGUUACUUUCCCUAGUUUUGGAUUGUUUGCUGACUGUAGUUGUGCUGGUUUCAGAAAACCGGCUAAGAUCUCCAAGAAGAACUCCACUCCACAGCGGGA
Molecule: long non-coding RNA, 1211 nt
Organism: Cyprinus carpio (common carp)
Lineage: Eukaryota; Metazoa; Chordata; Actinopteri; Cypriniformes; Cyprinidae
Source: Ensembl